RNAcentral lists this ribosomal RNA (248 nucleotides) under uncultured bacterium. Its description in RNAcentral is "partial 16S ribosomal RNA". It matches the Rfam family "Bacterial small subunit ribosomal RNA", at positions 524 to 776 of the family's 1533-position model. The record is from RNAcentral.
UACGUAGGGCGCAAGCGUUAUCCGGAAUUAUUGGGCGUAAAGAGCUCGUAGGCGGUUUGUCGCGUCUGCCGUGAAAGUCCGGGGCUCAACCCGCCGUGCUGUGUGACGGGCGACUGAGUGUCGGCAGGGGAGCUGGAAUUCCUGGUGUAGCGGUGAAAUGCGCAGAUAUCAGGAGGAACACCGGUGGCGAAGGCGGGACUCUGGGCCGAUACUGACGCUGAGGAGCGAAAGCGUGGGGAGCAAACAGG